Poecilia reticulata (guppy) is the source of this 222-nucleotide non-coding RNA. The record is from RefSeq and is a predicted model, not a curated record. NCBI's taxonomy places the organism in Eukaryota, Metazoa, Chordata, Actinopteri, Cyprinodontiformes, Poeciliidae.
CUGUUUUUCGACAAAGUCUCUGGGUGCUGCAUCUCGGAUCUCCCCGUGGAGAUCUUCCUUGCCUCCACAGAAGCCUGUUCCUCUGGUUUCCUGCAUCUCCCUGUCAUCAGACCCUCUGUUCCUCUGCUCCACCCGUCCACUGCUCUACAGUGCUGUGUUUGAUGACCUCUCCCUUAGCUGAAACCAGUAUCUGAAAAAAUAAACUUUGUUUUCCUUUUUAUA